UCCCGUUCCCUCCCCGCUUUGCAGCCAGACAAACGACCGUGCCGCCAAGCCUCGUACAGAAGUUCAUGGGCUUCGUCAAACGCGUGGGGUUGGAGGGGGAGCACCGGUUCAAACUGCGCCAAAAAGAUUUGUGUACAAAACCCCCGGUGGAACCAUAGAAAUAAUGAAAGGAAGAGUGAAGCUGAAAAUGGAAGGAAAACCAGCGCAACCAAGUGCAAAUAAAAGAAUUCUGUUUAAA
Long non-coding RNA from Anolis carolinensis (green anole), 238 nucleotides. RefSeq lists it as uncharacterized. The transcript has 3 exons. The record is from RefSeq and is a predicted model, not a curated record. NCBI's taxonomy places the organism in Eukaryota, Metazoa, Chordata, Lepidosauria, Squamata, Anolidae.